Molecule: ribosomal RNA, 613 nt
Filed under: uncultured bacterium
Lineage: Bacteria
Description: bacterial SSU rRNA
Rfam family: Bacterial small subunit ribosomal RNA
Source: RNAcentral
CCAGACUCCUACGGGAGGCAGCAGUGGGGAAUCUUCCGCAAUGGACGAAAGUCUGACGGAGCAACGCCGCGUGAGUGAUGACGGCCUUCGGGUUGUAAAGCUCUGUUAAUCGGGACGAAAGGCCUUCUUGCGAAUAGUGAGAAGGAUUGACGGUACCGGAAUAGAAAGCCACGGCUAACUACGUGCCAGCAGCCGCGGUAAUACGUAGGUGGCAAGCGUUGUCCGGAAUUAUUGGGCGUAAAGCGCGCGCAGGCGGAUAGGUCAGUCUGUCUUAAAAGUUCGGGGCUUAACCCCGUGAUGGGAUGGAAACUGCCAAUCUAGAGUAUCGGAGAGGAAAGUGGAAUUCCUAGUGUAGCGGUGAAAUGCGUAGAUAUUAGGAAGAACACCAGUGGCGAAGGCGACUUUCUGGACGAAAACUGACGCUGAGGCGCGAAAGCCAGGGGAGCGAACGGGAUUAGAUACCCCGGUAGUCCUGGCCGUAAACGAUGGGUACUAGGUGUAGGAGGUAUCGACCCCUUCUGUGCCGGAGUUAACGCAAUAAGUACCCCGCCUGGGGAGUACGACCGCAAGGUUGAAACUCAAAGGAAUUGACGGGGGCCCGCACAAGAAGGGC